Musa acuminata AAA Group (dessert banana) is the source of this 450-nucleotide long non-coding RNA. RefSeq lists it as uncharacterized. The transcript has 2 exons. NCBI's taxonomy places the organism in Eukaryota, Viridiplantae, Streptophyta, Magnoliopsida, Zingiberales, Musaceae. The record is from RefSeq and is a predicted model, not a curated record.
UAUAGAUGAGAGCACACCGAUCAACAAAGUUAAAGGUCCUAAUGUGUUUGAACGAGCAAAGGAAGAGAUUGAAGCCCUUGUAGAAGCUCUCCACCCCAAGAGGAGUCCUGAACAUGAGCAUCAUGAAAGGAAUUAUGGUGUUCUUGAGAAGGUGUGAAGACAGUUGACAAGCUCAAGUGUUUCACAGUCCAAUGUGCACAUUGGACUGUCUUCUUCAGAGCACAUUGUCAUAUCAUACACAUUGAUAGUCCAAUGUGCCGGAUUUCUACGAACACCACCUAAUUAUUGUCAACAGUGACAGUCUGAACUUGUUCUGUCAGAAAAGGAAACAAUAUUGGUGAUUUAGAUCUGCCAUGAAUCAUCGAAUGUCUUUGUGAUAGAAACAUGAUCAGUUACUGUUGAAUGGAUGGCUACGUGGGGACGAAGAAUGCAUCUCUUUGUUUGACUUCC